UGGGGAAUAUUGCACAAUGGGCGCAAGCCUGAUGCAGCCAUGCCGCGUGUGUGAAGAAGGCCUCGGGUUGUAAAGCACUUUCAGCGAGGAGGAAGGUGGUGAACUUAAUACGUUCAUCAAUUGACGUUACUCGCAGAAGAAGCACCGGCUAACUCCGUGCCAGCAGCCGCGGUAAUACGGAGGGUGCAAGCGUUAAUCGGAAUUACUGGGCGUAAAGCGCACGCAGGCGGUUUGUUAAGUCAGAUGUGAAAUCCCCCGGGCUCAACCUGGGAACUGCAUUUGAAACUGGCAAGCUAGAGUCUCGUAGAGGGGGGUAGAAUUUCCAGGUGUAGCGGUGAAAUGCGUAGAGAUCUGGAGGAAUACCGGUGGCGAAGGCGGCCCCCCUGGACGAAGACUGACGCUCAGGUGCG
This 410-nucleotide ribosomal RNA is filed under the name uncultured bacterium. RNAcentral describes it as "partial 16S ribosomal RNA". It matches the Rfam family "Bacterial small subunit ribosomal RNA", at positions 355 to 755 of the family's 1533-position model. The record is from RNAcentral.